UACAGGGGGGGCAAGCGUUGUUCGGAAUUACUGGGCGUAAAGGGCUCGUAGGUGGCCAACUAAGUCAGACGUGAAAUCCCUCGGCUUAACCGGGGAACUGCGUCUGAUACUGGAUGGCUAGAGUUUGGGAGAGGGAUGCGGAAUUCCAGGUGUAGCGGUGAAAUGCGUAGAUAUCGUAAGGAAGACCAGUGGCGAAGGCGGGUCUCUGGACAGUUCCUGACGCUGAGGCACGAAGGCCAGGGGAGCAAACGGG
RNAcentral lists this ribosomal RNA (253 nucleotides) under uncultured bacterium. RNAcentral describes it as "partial 16S ribosomal RNA". It matches the Rfam family "Bacterial small subunit ribosomal RNA", at positions 524 to 776 of the family's 1533-position model. The record is from RNAcentral.